UACUAGAGUAGCACUCGCAUAUCAAUAAGCGGAGGAAAAGAAACUAACAAGGAUUCCCCUAGUAACGGCGAGUGAAGCGGGAAGAGCUCAAAUUUGAAAUCUUAAAGGGUUUCCCUUUACGAAUUGUAGUUUAAAGAAGUGUUUUCUGUUGAGGUUUUGGUAAAAGUUCUUUGGAAUAGGACAUCAUAGAGGGUGAGAAUCCCGUAUUUGACCUUUACUUUCAACUUUGUGAUACACUUUCAAAGAGUCGGAUUGUUUGGGAAUGCAGUCCAAAAUGGGUGGUAAAUUUCAUCUAAAGCUAAAUAUUGGCGAGAGACCGAUAGCGAACAAGUACCGUGAGGGAAAGAUGAAAAGAACUUUGAAAAGAGAGUUAAACAGUACGUGAAAUUGUCAAAAGGGAAGCGUUUGACACCAGUGUUGUUUUUCUGAAAAUCAAUUAAAGAACUGUUUAUGCUAAGUUGUUUAGACUUUAUCAGCUAAUCUGUUUAGUUUUGAGCUUUUCUUUAAUGCACUUUUCAGUUAACAAGUCAACAUCAAUUUCUUUUGCUGUAAAAAAGCUUGAGGAAGGUGGCUUGAGAUUCGUCUUAAGUGUUUAUAGCCUCUUGCCUAUGCAGUCGGAGAGAUUGAGGUCUGCAGCGUAGAUCCUUCGGGGCUAAAUGCAUUUGUGCUAAGUUAUAGCAUUUUAUAGACAACUUGUUGACUAUGAUUUGUCUUGUAGCUUACUCGCUUAUGUUAUUUUACCUACGCUUAGGAUGUUGAGUAGCGACAUACGCAC
Molecule: ribosomal RNA, 775 nt
Filed under: uncultured Neocallimastigales
Lineage: Eukaryota; Fungi; Neocallimastigomycota; Neocallimastigomycetes; Neocallimastigales
Description: partial large subunit ribosomal RNA
Rfam family: Eukaryotic large subunit ribosomal RNA
Source: RNAcentral